AUGGAACUUCUCAGCCUCCGUAACUGCGUGAGCAGUAUCUUAUUACAUAUAUUGGCUCUGUUUCGCUGGAGAACCAUGACGAAUACACCUACCACAGUGAAUGAAUGGGAGAAUUUCAUUAGCAGAACCCAUUACAGGUUCUUAGAACAAAUAAAAGUGAUCGUGUGCUCUACAAAAUAUAAAAGCACGCAAACUGACUUCUCAGCAAAAGCAAAUUGCACCUCCGUAAAUGUGUAUCACAGACUUCGUGGAGCACGGUGGAGAGAGGCCUCUGCCCCCCUUCCUGUGGGCUCCUUACAGGCUUUGGGAGAAGAAAGUGUCUUUGUCAUCUGUGACUUGCCAUCGCCUCGCCCAGGAUCUCGCGCCAAGUAGGUAUGUGGUUAUGGGAUUGCUGUGAUCACAGUCAUUUUACAGUUAAGAAAACAGUGUCAAACACAG
Molecule: long non-coding RNA, 438 nt
Filed under: Mustela putorius furo (domestic ferret)
Lineage: Eukaryota; Metazoa; Chordata; Mammalia; Carnivora; Mustelidae
Description: lncRNA (ENSMPUG00000031203.1)
Source: RNAcentral